Mytilus californianus (California mussel) is the source of this 540-nucleotide long non-coding RNA. RefSeq lists it as uncharacterized. NCBI's taxonomy places the organism in Eukaryota, Metazoa, Mollusca, Bivalvia, Mytilida, Mytilidae. The transcript has 3 exons. The record is from RefSeq and is a predicted model, not a curated record.
AGUGUGUAUGUCUUAUUCAAAUAGUUUUGCAUUGUAGUGUCUACAUAAGGAUUUUCAUAGUGCUUUUUUGUAGCAGUCUGACUUUUGGACAAUUUGAAGGAAACAAGUACAUGAAAGCAGAAGUAAUUAGCUUGAUAAGUAACAUUGGACCAACGAUCUGUACCAAUAAGUGUAAAAGUUUGUACGGGUGUAAUGGUGUUUAUUUUGAUCAACAACUGACUUGUGAGUUAUUACGAAUUAACCCGACCACAGACGACACAUCUGAAAAAGCUGGUUCCAUGUUUGCUGCUAUGUCUUCUUUGGAACCGAUAAAUGCAGCUGCAUGCUGGCCGAAUCCUUGCUCUCAAAACAACAAAUGUAUUGUUUCCAGACAAAAUAAAGCAUUUUGUAUAACUACAGUUGGUGAAUUACUUUUCAUGAAAACCAUAACGUCGACAAAUUACCCUGGGGAGUAUCCUAACUACGAUGUGCAAAAUAGAACGUAACUCCAGACUGGUUCUCAAAUUUAAAGCCUUUGAUCUGGAGACAUGUAACGACAUC